Molecule: non-coding RNA, 19 nt
Filed under: Rattus norvegicus (Norway rat)
Lineage: Eukaryota; Metazoa; Chordata; Mammalia; Rodentia; Muridae
Source: RNAcentral
GGUAAUGGGACUACGCGGU